This 301-nucleotide ribosomal RNA is filed under the name uncultured bacterium. Its description in RNAcentral is "partial 16S ribosomal RNA". It matches the Rfam family "Bacterial small subunit ribosomal RNA", at positions 509 to 808 of the family's 1533-position model. The record is from RNAcentral.
CAGCAGCCACGGGAAUACGGAGGGCGCGAGCGUUACCCGGAUUUACUGGGCGUAAAGGGCGUGUAGGCGGCCUGGGGCGUCCCAUGUGAAAGGCCACGGCUCAACCGUGGAGGAGCGUGGGAUACGCUCAGGCUAGAGGGUGGGAGAGGGUGGUGGAAUUCCCGGAGUAGCGGUGAAAUGCGCAGAUACCGGGAGGAACGCCGAUGGCGAAGGCAGCCACCUGGUCCACUUCUGACGCUGAGGCGCGAAAGCGUGGGGAGCAAACCGGAUUAGAUACCCCGGUGUCCCUGUCUCUUAUACC